RNAcentral lists this long non-coding RNA (621 nucleotides) under Homo sapiens (human). RNAcentral describes it as "long independently transcribed non-coding RNA 1888 (LINC01888)". The record is from RNAcentral. Lineage: Eukaryota; Metazoa; Chordata; Mammalia; Primates; Hominidae.
GUCCUGUGCCCAGAGGAAACAUUUUUCUGAAAACUUCUGCGCUGGGGCAGAUUUAGGGCAAAGUUAACACUUCAAAAAUAUCUCCAGUAAUUGAGUAAAUUGCUCAUCUGUCAAAUUGGCUCUUUGGCAAAUUACUCUGCUUGCACAUAUUAAUAGCCAAGCUUAGCCAACUUGAAAUAUGGAGAUUUACUGGAAAUCACAGUGAAGUGAAGAGAGAGGCAAGAGCAGAAUUGAAAUUCCCACCUGGCAGCAAAAGAGAGUUAUGCAGAGCCUAUCAGGACCCGUGUUCACACCAGCACUUAGUUUGGAGGAAGCACCUGGAGGAGAUGCAGAGUCCAGAUGUGCGCCCUCUGCCGGAAGCCUACUGCACCAGGACGUAGGCCUGGAGUGGCCCUUAACGCAUUUGGAAAUCAGUCUUCACUAAAAAAACUUCCUCCAAAAUGUUCUUUAACAGCCCUUUAAAAGCCAUUGUUUCAAAACAGUCCAAGGUGGUGAACAAUUAAUAUUUUCGAUUUACAUGAAGACUCUGGAGUAGGAAUUACCUGAGUUGGAAACUCAGUUCUACUCUAUUGGUAUCAGGUUGCAUUCUGUAUCAUCAUUAAAAUUUUCAGAAAAACUCUC